This 491-nucleotide ribosomal RNA is filed under the name uncultured bacterium. Its description in RNAcentral is "partial 16S ribosomal RNA". It matches the Rfam family "Bacterial small subunit ribosomal RNA", at positions 29 to 507 of the family's 1533-position model. The record is from RNAcentral.
GUGAACGCUGGCGGUAGGCCUAACACAUGCAAGUCGAACGGCAGCACAGUAAGAGCUUGCUCUUACGGGUGGCGAGUGGCGGACGGGUGAGGAAUACAUCGGAAUCUACUUUUUCGUGGGGGAUAACGUAGGGAAACUUACGCUAAUACCGCAUACGACCUACGGGUGAAAGCAGGGGAUCUUCGGACCUUGCGCGAUUGAAUGAGCCGAUGUCGGAUUAGCUAGUUGGCGGGGUAAAGGCCCACCAAGGCGACGAUCCGUAGCUGGUCUGAGAGGAUGAUCAGCCCCACUGGAAAUGAGACACGGUCCAGACUCCUACGGGAGGCAGCAGUGGGGAAUAUUGGACAAUGGGCGCAAGCCUGAUCCAGCCAUACCGCGUGGGUGAAGAAGGCCUUCGGGUUGUAAAGCCCUUUUGUUGGGAAAGAAAAGCAGCAGGUUAAUACCCCGCUGUUCUGACGGUACCCAAAGAAUAAGCACCGGCUAACUUCGUG